This 468-nucleotide ribosomal RNA is filed under the name uncultured bacterium. RNAcentral's name for it is "partial 16S ribosomal RNA". It matches the Rfam family "Bacterial small subunit ribosomal RNA", at positions 28 to 507 of the family's 1533-position model. The record is from RNAcentral.
GGUGAACGCUGGCGGCGUGCUUAACACAUGCCAGUCGAACGGUGAAGGCGGAGCUUGCUCUGCUGGAUCAGUGGCGAACGGGUGAGUAACACGUGAGCAAUCUGCCCCUGACUCUGGGAUAAGCGCUGGAAACGGCGUCUAAUACUGGAUACGAGCUGCGAAGGCAUCUUCAGCAGCUGGAAAGAAUUUCGGUCAGGGAUGAGCUCGCGGCCUAUCAGCUUGUUGGUGAGGUAAUGGCUCACCAAGGCGUCGACGGGUAGCCGGCCUGAGAGGGUGACCGGCCACACUGGGACUGAGACACGGCCCAGACUCCUACGGGAGGCAGCAGGGGGGAAUAUUGCACAAUGGGCGAAAGCCUGAUGCAGCAACGCCGCGUGAGGGACGACGGCCUUCGGGUUGUAAACCUCUUUUAGCAGGGAAGAAGCGAAAGUGACGGUACCUGCAGAAAAAGCGCCGGCUAACUACGUG